GUCUUGGAGCGAUUGGCCCCAAAGUGAGGGUGUCGGUGUCGACGUCCGACUGCAGUAGAAAACCUUUCAGUCUCGAGGGACGGCAUCGACGCCACGGGCGUCCAGGACGCAGCGGAUGCAGCAAUGCUAUGCCGGUAGGGGUGCCCGCAGCACUCCAAGCUUUCGACCUCGGAUCAGGUAGGGAUACCCGCUGAACUUAA
RNAcentral lists this unclassified non-coding RNA (200 nucleotides) under soil metagenome. RNAcentral describes it as "partial contains internal transcribed spacer 2 and large subunit ribosomal RNA". The record is from RNAcentral.